GGUUUACGUCAUGUCCAGACCAGCGCGCGCUUCCACCGCAGUGCCCGCGCUUAAAGGGGCGGUCCCUUAGGGCGGAACUUGUGCGUACGCUGGAAAACCGCUGGGGUGCGCGAUUCCGCACGGGGGCGCACAUGCGCAGUCUGGGGCCACGAUCAUUCCAUCGGAAAGAGGUCGAAAAUGUACAGUAGGCAUGCACAAAGGAUACCGCCUGGAAAGAAGGUAAAACUGGAAAACAGGAGGGAGGCGGGGCCCAAUUUUGGCUUCUCCUUCCG
This 272-nucleotide long non-coding RNA is filed under the name Homo sapiens (human). Its description in RNAcentral is "HSALNT0349254". Lineage: Eukaryota; Metazoa; Chordata; Mammalia; Primates; Hominidae. The record is from RNAcentral.